CCUACGGGAGGCAGCAGUGGGGAAUCUUGCGCAAUGGGCGAAAGCCUGACGCAGCAACGCCGCGUGCGGGAAGAAGGCUUUCGGGCUGUAAACCGCUUUCAGCAGGAACGAAAAUGACGGUACCUGCAGAAGAAGGAGCGGCCAACUAUGUGCCAGCAGCCGCGGUGAUACAUAGGCUUCAAGCGUUGUCCGGAUUUAUUGGGCGUAAAGAGUUCGUAGGCGGUCAAGUAAGUCGGGUGUGAAAAUUCUGGGCUCAACCCAGAGACGCCACCCGAUACUGCUUAACUUGAGUUCGAUAGGGGAGUGGGGAAUUCCUAGUGUAGCGGUGAAAUGCGCAGAUAUUAGGAGGAACACCGGUGGCGAAGGCGCCACUCUGGAUCGAUACUGACGCUGAGGAACGAAAGCAUGGGUAGCAAACAGGAUUAGAUACCCUGGUAGUCCAUGCCGUAAACGGUGGGCACUAGGUGUGGGUUUCUAUUAACGAAAUCCGCGCCGUCGCUAACGCAUUAAGUGCCCCGCCUGGGGGAGGUACGGUCGCGAGACUAAACUACAAUAGAAUUAGACGGCGUGAGACGUGCCGAACGGACGACCGACCGAGGGAGGUAGG
RNAcentral lists this ribosomal RNA (607 nucleotides) under uncultured bacterium. RNAcentral's name for it is "bacterial SSU rRNA". It matches the Rfam family "Bacterial small subunit ribosomal RNA", at positions 338 to 1415 of the family's 1533-position model. The record is from RNAcentral.